AAAGAAUAAUGAUGACCGUAUGACCGUGUGUGUGUGUGCGUGUGUGUGUGUGUGUGUGUGUGUGUGUGUUGGGAUUACUGCAGGUCGGCGGUUCAGUGAAGCGGAAAAUAGGAAACGUAGUUCUGAGGACUUCAGCGGUUUAUUCAGAGCGGAGACGGAGUGACAGAGAGACGGAGUGACAGAGAGACGGAGUGACAGAGAGACGGAGAGAGCAGCGUCGACAGAAACGCAGCCAGCUGAAGAGCAUGCUUAAUUGUAACUAAUUGGAACUCAUCCCCUCAGUGCACAGGAGAAUAAAGAAGACAUAGAGCAGGAGAUGUCUAAAGGCAAACGACUCUGGGUAGAAUCAACAAAAAAUCAACAACAACCAACCUGCAUGAUGAUGUAGAAGCUUCGCAACCUCUUCUCUGUGGAGACCAGGCCUCCAUUCCUCAGCGUCGCCUGAUGGCGGUGAUCAGGAGAGGGGACGCCGAAAGCAGAAGCACGUUUCUCCACAGAGGCAACAGGCACUGAAGCUCUCGAGAUGUUUCAUCAGCGAUGGAGUUUCUCCAUCUCCAUUCUCCUGAUCAAUCCGUCGCUGCUCUCAUGAAGGACAUCAUCUCUCAUCAUCACAUG
This is a long non-coding RNA of Tachysurus fulvidraco (yellow catfish), 615 nucleotides long. RefSeq lists it as uncharacterized. The transcript has 3 exons. NCBI's taxonomy places the organism in Eukaryota, Metazoa, Chordata, Actinopteri, Siluriformes, Bagridae. The record is from RefSeq and is a predicted model, not a curated record.